AUGGCUGGCGAAGGUGAGCUGAAGCUGUUGAGUACGUGGGCGAGCCCCUGGGCUUCUAGGGUGAAACUCGCGCUCCACCUCAAGGGCUUGAGCUACGAGAACAUCGAGCAGGACCUCAACAGCAAGAGUGACCUCCUCCUCGCGUUCAACCCAGUGCACAAGAAGGUGCCCGUGCUCAUCCACAACGGCAAGCCAAUCUGUGAGUCGGUCGUCAUAAUUGAGUACAUCGACGAGGCCUAUGGCAGCACCGGCCCCUCCCUCCUACCCACUGACCCCUACGAGCGUGCCGUUGCUCGGUUUUGGGUAGACUACAUUGACCACAAGCUAGUCAUCCCGUGGAAAGUGGCGUUCACAGCCAACACUGAGGAGGAUAAGACUGAAGCGAUAAAGCAAAUAUUAGUGGGGGUGAAUGUGCUAGAGGGGGCUCUCAAGGAAUGCUCCAACGGGAAGCCCUUCUUUGGAGGUGAUAACGUUGGAUACGUGGAUAUAGCACUAGGCGGCCUGUUGGCGUUUCUGCAAGGAACUAAAGAACUAUGUGGUACCAAGCUCUUUGGCACCGCGAAUACCCCACUUCUGCUUGCUUGGGUGGAGCGCUUCACUACGCUGGACGCUGCCAAGGCGGCUCUUCCGGACGCCAAUAAAUUGGUUGUGUUUGCAAGGACAAGGCGGGCCCGGAUUGCUGCUACUAUAAAUGUAUCUGUCAAGAACUGA
RNAcentral lists this ribosomal RNA (711 nucleotides) under Triticum aestivum (bread wheat). RNAcentral's name for it is "partial small subunit ribosomal RNA". The record is from RNAcentral. Lineage: Eukaryota; Viridiplantae; Streptophyta; Magnoliopsida; Poales; Poaceae.